This is a long non-coding RNA of Dicentrarchus labrax (European seabass), 429 nucleotides long. RefSeq lists it as uncharacterized. The record is from RefSeq and is a predicted model, not a curated record. The transcript has 2 exons. Lineage: Eukaryota; Metazoa; Chordata; Actinopteri; Moronidae.
CAGCUUUGUAUCAUUAGAAACCCAGUCAUAUUUUUGAAUGGUCGUGUAUCAUUCCCUCAUCGGGACCGCCUGUCCCGGACGAGGAGCCCGGACCGCCUCGAGCUGGCGGACUGCUGGUGUCUGUGCUCUCGCUGUGCGCCUACGGACACACGGACGUCUGACUGUAAAGUGUUUCUGUCUUAUAACAACGUGGCAUACAAUAUCGCCUAACAGCCUUUCUGCAAUGGGUCCUGCAAGGCGAGAGAUUGGGUGGAGGCGUUGUUUUACCCGCUGAUGUGGUUCAGGCUCUCCGACAGUAUCCAGCUCCAGAUGGCCAGUACUGCGGCACCGAGACGUUGAGGACGCUCAGGAGGAAUUAUAACUGUCAUUGUUUACAUAUUUAUUGUUGUUGUUGUUGAUAUAUUUCUGUAAAUAAAUGGUUUACAUUCA